RNAcentral lists this ribosomal RNA (110 nucleotides) under uncultured eukaryote. RNAcentral's name for it is "partial small subunit ribosomal RNA". It matches the Rfam family "Bacterial small subunit ribosomal RNA", at positions 1419 to 1525 of the family's 1533-position model. The record is from RNAcentral.
ACCCGAAGUCAUCUUAGCUGACCCGCAAGGGAGGCGGAUGCUGAAGGUAUGGGGGAUGAUUGGGGUGAAGUCGUAACAAGGUAGCUGUAGGUGAACCUGCAGAAGGAUCA